GGACCCGCACAAGUAGUGGAGCAUGUGGUUUAAUUCGAAGAUACGCGCAGAACCUUACCAACACUUGACAUGUUCGUCGCGACUCUAAGAGAUUAGAGUUUUCGGUUCGGCCGGACGAAAAACAGGUGCUGCAUGGCUGUCGUCAGCUCGUGUCGUGAGAUGUUGGGUUAAGUCCCCGCAACGAGCGCAACCCUCACUUUUAGUUGCCAUCAUUAAGUUGGGCACUCUGAAAGAACUGCCAGUGAUAAGCUGGAGGAAGGUGGGAUGACGUCAAGUCCUCAUGGCCCUUACGUGUUGGGCUACACACGUGCUACAAUGGUAUCUACAACAGGAAGCAAGACUGCGAAGUUAAGCAAAAUCCCUAAAAGAUACCUCAGUUCGGAUUGCACUCUGCAACUCGAGUGCAUG
RNAcentral lists this ribosomal RNA (408 nucleotides) under uncultured bacterium. Its description in RNAcentral is "bacterial SSU rRNA". It matches the Rfam family "Bacterial small subunit ribosomal RNA", at positions 917 to 1322 of the family's 1533-position model. The record is from RNAcentral.